Molecule: ribosomal RNA, 253 nt
Filed under: uncultured bacterium
Lineage: Bacteria
Description: partial 16S ribosomal RNA
Rfam family: Bacterial small subunit ribosomal RNA
Source: RNAcentral
GACGAACCGAGCGAACGUUGUUCGGAAUCACUGGGCUUAAAGGGCGCGUAGGCGGGUGCUCAAGUCCGUGGUGAAAUCCCUCGGCUUAACCGGGGAACUGCGUCUGAUACUGGAUGGCUUGAGUUCGGGAGAGGGAUGCGGAAUUCCAGGUGUAGCGGUGAAAUGCGUAGAUAUCUGGAGGAACACCGGUGGCGAAGGCGGCAUCCUGGACCGACACUGACACUGAGGAGCGAAAGCCAGGGGAGCAAACGGG